GAUGAACGCUGGCGGCGUGCCUAAUACAUGCCAGUCGAGCGAACAGACGAGGAGCUUGCUCCUCUGACGUUAGCGGCGGACGGGUGAGUAACACGUGGAUAACCUACCUAUAAGACUGGGAUAACUUCGGGAAACCGGAGCUAAUACCGGAUAAUAUAUUGAACCGCAUGGUUCAAUAGUGAAAGACGGUUUUGCUGUCACUUAUAGAUGGAUCCGCGCCGCAUUAGCUAGUUGGUAAGGUAACGGCUUACCAAGGCAACGAUGCGUAGCCGACCUGAGAGGGUGAUCGGCCACACUGGAACUGAGACACGGUCCAGGCUCCUACGGGAGGCAGCAGUAGGGAAUCUUCCGCAAUGGGCGAAAGCCUGACGGAGCAACGCCGCGUGAGUGAUGAAGGUCUUCGUAUCGUAAAACUCUGUUAUUAGGGAAGAACAAAUGUGUAAGUAACUAUGCACGUCUUGACGGUACCUAAUCAGAAAGCCACGGCUAACUACGUG
This 497-nucleotide ribosomal RNA is filed under the name uncultured bacterium. Its description in RNAcentral is "partial 16S ribosomal RNA". It matches the Rfam family "Bacterial small subunit ribosomal RNA", at positions 28 to 507 of the family's 1533-position model. The record is from RNAcentral.